GAGUUUGAUCAUGGCUCAGAUUGAACGCUGGCGGCAUGCCUUACACAUGCAAGUCGAACGGCAGCACGGGAGCUUGCUCCUGGUGGCGAGUGGCGAACGGGUGAGUAAUGCAUCGGAACGUAUCCUGGAGUGGGGGAUAACGUAGCGAAAGUUACGCUAAUACCGCAUAUUCUGUGAGCAGGAAAGCGGGGGACCUUCGGGCCUCGCGCCCUUGGAGCGGCCGAUGUCGGAUUAGCUAGUUGGUGAGGUAAAGGCUCACCAAGGCGACGAUCCGUAGCAGGUCUGAGAGGAUGAUCUGCCACACUGGAACUGAGACACGGUCCAGACUCCUACGGGAGGCAGCAGUGGGGAAUUUUGGACAAUGGGGGCAACCCUGAUCCAGCCAUGCCGCGUGAGUGAAGAAGGCC
RNAcentral lists this ribosomal RNA (407 nucleotides) under bacterium enrichment culture clone ALO1_GLFRUDD03GBC7D. RNAcentral's name for it is "bacterial SSU rRNA". It matches the Rfam family "Bacterial small subunit ribosomal RNA", at positions 9 to 416 of the family's 1533-position model. The record is from RNAcentral.